RNAcentral lists this long non-coding RNA (5110 nucleotides) under Sus scrofa (pig). RNAcentral's name for it is "lncRNA (ENSSSCG00055014486.1)". The record is from RNAcentral. Lineage: Eukaryota; Metazoa; Chordata; Mammalia; Artiodactyla; Suidae.
ACUGCGCGCGCCCUCAAACGCAGCCAGGCCGCCUAGCAACCCGGUUUCCAGCCAGUGUCUCGCCGGAACAAGUGGCCUUCCCUGGAGUUCUGUUCCCACCAGCUGGUCUCGGCUCUUCCCUAUCAUUUCCCCUUCUCCCCUCCACUGGUUCCAAUUUCGCCCACGGUGUGCGUCCCAAAACGCUGAACCGGCUCCUAAAAUGAGUACUCGUGGUUUCCGCGUGGGAACCCACCUCUGGGGCCUCUGGCCCGCCCUCCGCUGGCUUAGGUGGCUGCUGGGGCUGGGGCUGCUCCUGGGGCUUCAGGCCGCCCUCUGCGUGGCUUUCUAUCUCCCGGGGUUGGCUCCCGUCAACUUCUGCGAGGCGGACCAAGAGACUGCCACCUGCAAGUCUCUGCAAACAGCAAGUUAAUUUGUACCUCUCAGACUUGCGAGAAUAAAAUGAGACAACGUAUGACAAGCACUGACAAAAACACUUGGCACAUGUCAUCUGUAGCACUAUUUGUAAAUAGUCUGGACUCAGUGGAACCUGCUGUCUUAUGAAUAUAAUAUUUUUAACAAGACAGAAACAUGUUCAAAAGUUUGUGUAAAAUUUUAUGAUAUAGCAAGUGAAGAUCGAAAGAAAAGGCUGGAUUUUUUGAAGAAAGGAACACAGCUGAAUUAUCAACGUCACUGUUUGAAUUCAACAGAAGUAAUACUUUCUACCUCUUCGACCACACUGAUAUUACCGUUACAUAUCCUGGGGAAAGUGAAACAAAUUGGGCUAUUGCAAGUUUGGUUACUGCUUGACUUGAUCUCAAAAGGUAAUUACAGAAUCUUUUAAAUUAAUUAAUUAAUUAAUUAAUUUAAUUUUUAAGUGAUUUUAAUUUUUUCCAUUGUAGUUGAUUUGCAGUGUUUCAUCAAUUUCUACUAUACAGCAAAGUGUGCCAGUCAUACAUAUAUGUACACAUUGUUUUUCUCACACCCUCCAUCCUGUUCCAUCGCAAGUGACUAGGUAGAGUUCCCUGUGCUGUACAGCAGGAUCUCAUUGCUUCUCCACUCCUUAUGCAGUAGUUUGCAUCUACUAACCCCGGACUCCCAGUCCAUCCCACUCCCUCCCCCUCCCCCUAGGCAACCACAAGUCUGUUCUCCAGGUCCAUGACUGUCUUUUCUGUGGAAAGGUGCAUUUGUGCCCUAUAUUAGAUUCCAGAUAUAGGGGAUAUCAUCUGGUAUUUGUCUUUCUCUUUCUGACUUACUUCAUUUAGGCUACAUGUUAAGCAUCUAAGUAGCAUGUAAUGUGAGGAAGAAUUGACAGAUCUGGAAGAGAGCAGACUUUUUUUCCCUCUUUUUAGGGCUGGGUAGGGGUCGAGUCAGAGCUGCAGCUGCUGGCCUAUGCCACAUCCACAGCAACGCCAGAUCCAAGCUGGCCCUGCGACCUACACCACAGCUCACAACAACGCCAGAUCCUUAACCCACUGAGUGAGGCCAGGGAUCAAACCCACGUCCUCAUGGUUAGUAGUUGGGUUCUUUACUGCUGAGCCACAGUGGGAACUCCUGGAAGAGGACAGACUUGUUGAGGGUAUCCUGACUCUCUUCUUCCCUCCCUCCUUCCUUUCUUCUUUCUUUCAGGUCGCACCCUUGUGUAUGGAAGUUCCCAGCCAGGGAUUGAAUCUGAGCUGCAGCUGUGACCUACACCACAGGUGCAGCAAUGCUGGGUCCUUUAACCCACUGUGUGGGGCUGGGGAUCCAACCCAUGCCUCCCAAGUGACCCAAGCUGCUGCAGCCAGAUUCUGAACCCACUGCACAACAGUGGGAACUCAUCUUUAGUGGCUGCCGUGUUAUAAAGAGGUUGGAUUAAGAUCUGUGUUUCUUCAGAGGACAAUUCUAGUACCAAUGGCGUCUAGUAGGCAGGUAUCAGCGGGACUAAGGAGGAGUCUGCUAGCGAUUAAAGCUAAAAGUCAAAUGGGCCAUCUCAAGAAUUAGUGAGUAGUUAAUGCCUGGACAUUUGUAGAAAGAGCCUAGAUGACCCAGCUCUUAGAGAUUUCAUAAUUAGGCACCCAGCGUAGAAUCAGGUCCCUUGUAAGCGAGUUCUUAAUGGCUUGUGAAGGGUAAUCCUGCAUCGUGUCAGAGACCGGACAGGUGACUUUUGAUGUUACAACUUUAAGAUUCUUUGAAACUUUAGGAUAAGAUUAGUUCUCUUCAGUUAAAACAGAUAGAGAGGAGUUCGGGCUGUGGUGCAAUGGGAUUGGCAGUGUCUCUGCAGCACCAGGAUGCAGGUUCGAUCCUCAGCCUGGCACAGUAGGUUAAAGGAUGUGGUGUUGCUGUGCUCGUGGUGCAGGUUGCAGCGGUGGCUCGGAUCUGAUCCUUUACCUGGGAACUCCAUGUGCCAUAUGCCCUGGGGUGGCCAAAAAAGAAAAAAAAAAGAUAGAGAGGGGACUGUAUCAUACAGUGUAUCAAAUCAUAUUCCAUAUGGGCAAAAUGUUAUAAAACCUGAAAUAUUAGGAUGGAGGAAGUUGUCCUUUGAAACCUAUGUGAGGUAUAUUAAAGGAGAUGCUUGUGGUAGAGUAUCGGAACGCAGAACAAGGAAUUAGAUAAUUUGGAUUUUAGUCUCAUCUCUGAUGGUUCCAUUUUUGAAAGUCAACCCUAAAUCCAUAGAGAUGAUUCAGGCUUCAUUCUUUUUAAACCUGCUGGCCUAUUUUACUUUAGCCAAGAGUGUCUCAUCUGUCACAGCUGAUGGCCAAAAGGAAAGAAGAGUUGGAGAACGUACUGGGCUAAGCUUUUGACCAUGGGUGGGUUAAUUUGACCUCUCAUAAAUUUAAUUUCCUCAUCUGCAAAAGGAGAGGGCUAAAUUAGGAUUUUUAAAUAUAGAUCGUGAUGCAUCAAAUCCAGUUUCUAUUGAUGUGUAUUUUUCUGGGAAAAGGUUAAUAUGUUUCAUUAGAAGAAUACACCCCAAAAGAUGAAGAACACUGGUUCUUUCUAAAUCUGAUUUAUCUUAGUAAAAAGGUAUUUGUGGAGUUCCCGCUGUGGUGCAGUGGGUUAAGGAUCUGGUGUUGCCACAGCUGUGGUUUAGGUUGCAGUUGCGGCUCAGAUUGGAUCCCUGGCUCAGGAACUUCCAUAUGCUGUGGGUGUGGAAAAAAAUUUCUUUUAAAAUUAGUGGCUAUGUUAAAAAAUUUGCAGAUUAUUUAUUUCACAAGGAGUUGCAGACAGGAAAUAAAAGAAGAAGGGUAAACAGAGCUGCUAAGAGAGGCCAAGGAACAAUAACCAUUGUCACGGGCAAUCACCCAUGCUUUUUUUGUGUUGUCACUUCUGAUCCCUGGGAACAGAAUUUUAGGUUGAUAGACUGUGAAGUCUGACUCAGGAUGGCUGCUCAUGUUGAAUGUCAUUUGGUAGAAAGGUAGUAAACACAAAACAUGAUACAGGAAACUCAUAUCAUCAGCUACAUGAAAAUCAAAUUUACUGCUUAUGAUCAUAUCUCAUAGUCUCAGAUUUGGAUAGAAUAAAAGAGCCAAGAGAAUAGAGUAACUUUCUAGAGCUGUCUUUAUUCUACCUUGUCCAUAGUAACAGCUGACAUAUGCAUGCAAGAAAACGUUCAUCUGAUCGCAGUAAAACUCGUUUAUUGGGGCCUCCUGAGAACAAGGUCUGUGUUACAAGUCAUCUUUUUCAGAAUUAGGCAGUCUGCUCAGGGUCCUAGACGGGAGUUAGGCCUAAUGGUUUUCUAGGUCUAGCGUCUUGUGCUUUUCUGUUAAUUUCCCUGAUGGUUGCCAUGCUGAUCAUCUCUUUUCGCUUAAAAUAUCUGCCACAUUUGCCUUUUGGUUACCACACUUUCCGGGUUUUCUCCCAUCUCCCUGAUUGCUCAUCAGUCUUCUCAUUUCUCCAACCUCUUAUUUUUGUUUUGUUUUAUUUUAUUUUAUUUUAUUUUUUUGACCAUGCCUCAAGGCAUGGGAAAGUUCCUGGGCCUGGGAUGGAACCCAAGCCACAACUGGAACCAGAGCCACAGUAGUGAUAACACCAGAUCCUUAACCUGCUGAGCCACGAGGGAACUCCUCUUCGACCUCUUAAUGUCGGAGGGCCACAGGAUUCAGUCUUUGAGCUUGUCUCAUGUCAUCAGAUACCAAAAAGACUCUUAGACCUCUAGGCUCAUAUAUGUAGCUGUCUAUGUGACACAUCCACUUGUGUGACUAAAAGGUUCUUUAUUUUAUUUUAUUUUAUUUUAUUUUAUUUUAUUUUAUUUGACCCCUAGCCUGGGAACUUCCAUAUACCGUGGGCGCAGCCCUAAAAAGACAGAAACAAAAUUAUUUUAUUUUGUUUUAUUUUAUUGCUUUUUAGGGCCAUACUCGUGGCAUAUAGAAGUUCCUGGGCUAGGGGCUGAGUUGAAACUCCAGCUGCCAGCCUGUACCACAGCCACCUCAAUACCAGAUCUGAGCCACAUCUGGCAACCUACAUUGCAGCUCACAGCAAUGCUGGAUCCUUCAACCACUGAGUGAGGCCAGGGAUUGAACCUGCAUCCUCAUGGAUACUAGUUGGGUUCUUAAACCGCUGUGUGUCACAACUGGAACUCCCUAUAUAUCUAUUCUUUUUCAGUCUUUUUCAGAUUAUUUUCCCUUAUAGGUUAUUACUAUAUAUAGGGGUCGAAUUGGAGCUACAGCUGCUGGCCUAUGCCACAGCCACAGCAACGCAGGAUCUGAGCUGCGUCUGUGACCUACACCACAGCUCAUGGCAAUGCCAGAUCCUUAACCCACUGAGGGAGGCCAGGGAUCGAACCUGCAUCCUCAUGGUUCCUAGUUGGAUUCGUUUCCCCUGAGCCACGAUGGAAAAAUCUGAAAAUAUAUAUAUUUUUGAAAUGAUUUACUUAAAAUUAAAGUACAGUUGAUUCACCGUGUUGUGCCAAUUACAAAAUAUUGAGUACAAGUCAAAAAAUAGAGUUCUCGUCGUGGCUCAGUGGUCAGCGAACCCGACUAGCAUCCAUGAGCAUGCGGGUUUGAACCCUGGCCUUGCUCAGUGGGUUAAGGAUCUGGUGUUGCCGUGAGCUGUGCCAUAGGUCGAAGAGGUGGCUCAGAUCCUGCGUGACUGUGGCUGUGUGUAGGCCGGCAGUUGCAGCUCCGAUUGGACCCCUAGCCUGGGAACCUCCGUAUGC